UAGUAAGAGUGUACGGUCGGAAUACGUCUACAGUUCAUUUGUCCUAAUUUGGAAUUUGGAAUAAGAAGAAGAAGAAUCCUGAGAAACGCACCUUUUACGAUACGCCCCUCCGACGAAAUCGCCACCUUUUGUAGACUAACACCGUGUCGAAAGCUCAGAGCCAGAGCCAGUGACGCUGUCUCACUCCUCCGAUUAAAAAGUUUUGCUCUUUUCUCGAUUCCCGAUCGUCCCGAUGUCGAAAAGGAUCCUUUGCAAGUUCUUUGCUCACGGUGCUUGCUUAAAAGGAGACAACUGUGAGUUCUCACAUGACUGGAAGGAUCCUUCAAACAAUAUUUGCACUUUCUACCAAAGAGGCAACUGCUCUUACGGAAGCAGAUGCAGGUACGAACAUGUCAAACCUUCCCGCCCUCCUCAUCCAUCUCCCGCCUCAUCUUCCACCUACCUAUCUUCUGCCUUUGUUUCCGAAAGAGAUUUAAGCUCAUCACCAGCGUGGACUUUGGCUUCCUUAGACGAUGAGGUCAACAACACUGACGCAACCAAACCAGAAGACCAACCCAUCUGCUCAUACGCCGCAGCUGGCGACUGCCCACGCGGCGACCAAUGCCCCCACAUCCACGGAGACCUCUGCCCAACGUGUCAGAAACAUUGCUUGCAUCCCUUCAGACCAGAGGAGAGAGAGGAGCACAAGAGAUCGUGCGAGAAGAAGCACAAGCAGCUCGAAGCGUUGAAGCUUAGCCAGGACGUGGAGUGCUGCGUCUGCUUGGAGCGUGUGCUCUCUAAACCCACUCCGGCCGAACGGAAGUUCGGGAUACUCACCGAGUGUGAUCACGCUUUCUGCAUAGGGUGCAUCAGGAACUGGCGCAGCAGCGCUCCUUCAACUGGUAUGGAUGUCAACAGCACGCUGAGAGCUUGCCCCAUAUGCCGCAAGCUAUCGUAUUUCGUUGUUCCUAGUGUCAUCUGGUUCUCAGAUCCUGAUGAGAAAAAGGAAAUUAUGGACAACUACAGGGACAAGCUCAGUCUAUCAGGUCAAUUGAUUGCAAGCACUUCAAUUUUGGAGAUGGGAACUGUCCGUUUGGGACAAGUUGCUUCUACAAGCACACUGUGAAGCCAGGGUCAUAUGCAUGGAGACACCACAGGCCACCUCCAAGGCGUCCAAGGCCCACCCCUGGAUCUAACUUCUCAGAGAUUAACGCGUUUUUUAAUAUGAUGGCGAACGUAAUGUCAGAAGGAGAGUAUGGUUCCUUUGGAUUUGAAGAUUCGGAUGAUGAUGAUAAUGAACUGACUUCAACGGAUAUGAUGAUGUUACUGAUGAACUUGGAUAUGGACUCCGAUUAUGACUCCUCCAAUGAGGAUAGCUAUUAACAGUUUAAAGUUUCUAUUAAACAUGCGUUUCAUGAUGGUCGUUUGGAGGAAGUGGUUCUAAGGCAUCUAGAUGCAGAAGAUGGGCAGACUGUGAUAGCUAAAGAUAUAAGGUUGUCUGACUUUCUUGAGAAUAUGCACAUAUGAAUGAAAGACUCUUUUGGUACAAUAAAGAACAAGGGCAAAUAUGUUCUGAUGAACCUCUCUUUUUGUGGGAUUUUUUUUUUGUUCAUUCAUUGCAUUUGACUGAUUUGAGUUGGAAGAUUUUAACUUUGACACCAUUGCUUUGUGACCUGAGAUGAGACCGACUCAUUGUGUACUCAUUUUUGUAUUUAUAACAAAUAUUACAACAUGGAGGACAAAGUAGAUGUCAAGA
Molecule: RNA transcript, 1735 nt
Organism: Brassica oleracea var. oleracea
Lineage: Eukaryota; Viridiplantae; Streptophyta; Magnoliopsida; Brassicales; Brassicaceae
Gene name: zinc finger CCCH domain-containing protein 69-like
Exons: 7
Source: RefSeq, a predicted model, not a curated record